Molecule: long non-coding RNA, 446 nt
Organism: Passer domesticus (house sparrow)
Lineage: Eukaryota; Metazoa; Chordata; Aves; Passeriformes; Passeridae
Exons: 3
Source: RefSeq, a predicted model, not a curated record
GCUUUCAUUCCCAGAAGAGAAAUGAAACACCUGGCUCUUGGGAAGCUAGGCAGUAGCUCAUAUCAAAGCUUUAAUGUGUUAUGUAAGGAAUUUCUUCACAGAAAUCCGGAGGCCACAAAGGAGAAAGGAAAUGGUGGAAGCUAAAAAUGAACAAUGAUGGGCAUCCAGGUUUGAGGCCUGAUUGCACCUGCAAACUGACUCAAGUGAUAUGGAAGCAGCAGAGUCGUCAAAGACUGCCUUAGGGAACAUCACUGCAGAGAGUUUGCUGUGUCUAGUAUCACAAGAGCAUAAGGGGUCUAUGUCAUGUUCUUUUCCAAGAUUUGCCUAAGAUGUGUGACAAGGAACAGAUGCUGUUUUCUCAGAUCCAUCCACCCUCCACUGAGCCAGAGGCGUGAAAAUCACCUGUGACACUUUUGUUCUCCACUCCAACAGUGGCAGUACAGCAC